Molecule: long non-coding RNA, 1514 nt
Organism: Gasterosteus aculeatus aculeatus (three-spined stickleback)
Lineage: Eukaryota; Metazoa; Chordata; Actinopteri; Perciformes; Gasterosteidae
Source: Ensembl
AUGAGUCUCGUUGUACUAGUUUUGAGUCUUGUUGUAGUAGUUUUGAGUGUCUUUGUUUGAGUCUCGUUGUAGUAGUUUUGAAUCUUGUAGUAGUUUUGAGUCUCUUUUUUUGAGUCUCGUACUACUUUUGAGUCUUGUUGUAGUAGUUUUGAGUCUCGUUGUACUAGUUUUAAGUCUUGUUGUAGUAGUUUUGAGUCUCAUUGUAGUAGUUUUGAGUUUCGUAGUAGUUUUGACUCUUGUUGUAGUAGUUUUGAGUCUCUUUGUUUGAGUGUUGUUGUAGUAGUUUUGAGUCUUGUAGUAGUUUUGAGUCUCUUUGUUUGAGUCUUGUGGUAGUAGUUUUGAGUCUCGUAGUAGUUUUAAGUCUCGUUGUAGUAGUUCUGAGUCUUGUGUGGUGGUUUUGUUUUUCUUUGUUUGAGUCUUGUUGUAGUAGUUUUGAGUCUCGUUGUAGUAGUUUUGAGUCUCUUUGUUUGAGUCUCGUUGUAGUAGUUUUGAGUCUUGUUGUAGUAGUUUUGAGUCUCGUAGUAGUUUUGAGUCUCGUUGUAGUAGUUUUGAGUCUCUUUGUUUGAGUCUCGUUGUAGUAGUUUUGAGUCUUGUUGUAGUAGUUUUGAGUCUCUUUGUUUGAGUCUCGUUGUAGUAGUUUUGAGUCUUGUUGUAGUAGUUUUGAGUCUCAUUGUAGUAGUUUUGAGUUUUGUAGUAGUUUUGAGUUUUGUAGUAGUUUUGACUCUUGUUGUAGUAGUUUUGAGUCUCUUUGUUUGAGUCUUGUUGUAGUAGUUUUGAGUCUCGUAGUAGUUUGGAGUCUCAUUGUAGUAGUUUUGAGUCUCUUUGUUUGAGUCUUGUUGUAGUAGUUUUGAGUCUCGCAGUAGUUUUGAGUGUCGUAGUAGUUUUGACUCUUGUUGUAGUAGUUCUGAGUCUUGUGUGGUGGUUUUGUUUCUCUUUGUUGUGGUUUAGAAUCAUUUGUUUUGGUUUUGUGUCUCUUUGAAGUUGAAUCUAUUUGUAGCCGUGUUGUUUCUCUUUGUAGUGGUGUUAUUUUUCUUUGAAGGCCUUUCAAGUCCUGGUUGUUUGGUGUCUAUUUGACAUUUUGUAGGUGAAGGCCAGAGGUAUCGGUGGGGGUGGUGGGGGGGGGGGGUGUUGAUCCAUAAUCAAUCAACGUUGGCAGCCAUGUUUAGUACACGAUAGCAGACGAGCCCACAGAAUCGCGAUGCUCCUGAUGACCUGACAGGACGUCACCUUGAGUUCACAGCCAGCUGUGUGUGUGUGAUUGAUCAGGAUCCAGGAACGAACAGCUGGCUGCCUAAUGACCCGUCAGCAGAAAACCAAUAAUCAAUGCGGCCAAAGGAAAUACUCUUCUAAGUAGGGAAACCGGUCCAGGUGGAGUGCAUCUCCACGUACUCACAAAGUAUGCAGCCGAUGAGUAUUAUGAACUUCCAUCAGGAAGGAUAAAGGUCGAUACUCUGUAACUUUAGUGGCUCGACUGAAAAGCGGCAUUUUGUCCACAUUUCCCUUUUACAUUUGAG